GACGAACGCUGGCGGCGUGCUUAACACAUGCAAGUCGAACGGAAAGGCCUCUUUCGGGGGGUACUCGAGUGGCGAACGGGUGAGUAACACGUGAGUAACCUGCCCUUGACUUUGGGAUAACUUCAGGAAACUGGGGCUAAUACCGGAUAGGAGCUCCUGCUGCAUGGUGGGGGUUGGAAAGUUUCGGCGGUUGGGGAUGGACUCGCGGCUUAUCAGCUUGUUGGUGGGGUAGUGGCUUACCAAGGCUUUGACGGGUAGCCGGCCUGAGAGGGUGACCGGCCACAUUGGGACUGAGCUACGGCCCAGACUCCUACGGGAGGCAGCAGUGGGGAAUGUUGCACAAUGGGUGGAAGCCUGAUGUAGCAACGCCGUGUGCGGGAUGACGGCCUUCGGGUUGUAAACCGCUUUCGCUCAUGACGAAGCUUUGUGUGACGGUAGUGGGUAAAGAAGCACCGGCUAACUACGUG
RNAcentral lists this ribosomal RNA (467 nucleotides) under uncultured bacterium. RNAcentral describes it as "partial 16S ribosomal RNA". It matches the Rfam family "Bacterial small subunit ribosomal RNA", at positions 28 to 507 of the family's 1533-position model. The record is from RNAcentral.